GAUUCAUGACUGGGGUGAAGUCGUAACAAGGUAGCCGUAGGGGAACCUGCGGCUGGAUCACCUCCUUAAUCGAAGA
Molecule: ribosomal RNA, 76 nt
Filed under: Pseudomonas plecoglossicida
Lineage: Bacteria; Pseudomonadati; Pseudomonadota; Gammaproteobacteria; Pseudomonadales; Pseudomonadaceae
Description: partial 16S ribosomal RNA
Rfam family: Bacterial small subunit ribosomal RNA (bases 1-68)
Source: RNAcentral